Molecule: ribosomal RNA, 253 nt
Filed under: uncultured bacterium
Lineage: Bacteria
Description: partial 16S ribosomal RNA
Rfam family: Bacterial small subunit ribosomal RNA
Source: RNAcentral
UACAGAGGUCUCAAGCGUUGUUCGGAUUCAUUGGGCGUAAAGGGUGCGUAGGUGGCGCUGUAAGUCGGGUGUGAAAUUUCGGAGCUUAACUCCGAAACUGCAUUCGAUACUGCGGUGCUUGAGGACUGGAGAGGAGACUGGAAUUCAUGGUGUAGCAGUGAAAUGCGUAGAGAUCAUGAGGAAGACCAGUGGCGAAGGCGGGUCUCUGGGCCAUUACUGACGCUGAGGAGCGAAAGCGUGGGGAGCGAACAGG